RNAcentral lists this ribosomal RNA (483 nucleotides) under uncultured bacterium. Its description in RNAcentral is "bacterial SSU rRNA". It matches the Rfam family "Bacterial small subunit ribosomal RNA", at positions 29 to 526 of the family's 1533-position model. The record is from RNAcentral.
AAUGAACGUUGGCGGCGUGGAUUAGGCAUGCAAGUCGAGCGUGUACCCCGCAAGGGGGAAAGCGGCGAAAGGGACAGUAACACGUAGAUUACCUACCCUCUGGUUCAGAAUAGCUGCGGGAAACUGCAGGUAAUGCUGAAUAAAGUCUCCGGACCAAAGGUGUGAUUCCACCGGAGGAUGGGUCUGCGUCCUAUUAGCUUGUUGGUGGGGUAACGGCCUACCAAGGCAAUGAUGGGUAGUGGGUGUGAGAGCACGACCCGCGUCACUGGGACUGAGAUACUGCCCAGACACCUACGGGUGGCUGCAGUCGAGGAUCUUCGGCAAUGGGCGCAAGCCUGACCGAGCGACGCCGCGUGCGGGAUGAAGGCCUUCGGGUUGUAAACCGCUGUCAGAGGGGAUGAAAUACAGGUGGGUUCUCCCAUCUGCUUGACAUAUCCUCAGAGGAAGUACGGGCUAAGUUCGUGCCAGCAGCCGCAGUAAAAC